RNAcentral lists this ribosomal RNA (253 nucleotides) under uncultured bacterium. RNAcentral describes it as "partial 16S ribosomal RNA". It matches the Rfam family "Bacterial small subunit ribosomal RNA", at positions 524 to 776 of the family's 1533-position model. The record is from RNAcentral.
UACGUAGGGGGCUAGCGUUGUCCGGAAUCAUUGGGCGUAAAGAGCGCGCAGGCGGUCGUUCAAGUCGAGUGUGAAAGCCCCCGGCUCAACUGGGGAGGGUCACUCGAUACUGAUCGACUCGAAGGCAGGAGAGGGAAGUGGAAUUCCCGGUGUAGUGGUGAAAUGCGUAGAUAUCGGGAGGAACACCAGUGGCGAAGGCGACUUCCUGGCCUGUUCUUGACGCUGAGGCGCGAAAGCUAGGGGAGCAAACGGG